UACGUAGGGUGCGAGCGUUAAUCGGAAUUACUGGGCGUAAAGCGUGCGCAGGCGGUUUUGUAAGCCAGAUGUGAAAGCCCCGGGCUUAACCUGGGAAUGGCAUUUGGGACUGCAAGGCUUGAGUGCGGCAGAGGAGACUGGAAUUCCUGGUGUAGCAGUGAAAUGCGUAGAUAUCAGGAGGAACACCUGUGGUGUAGACAGCUUACUGGACCACUUCUGACGCUGAGACACGAAAGCGUGGGUAGCAAACAGG
Molecule: ribosomal RNA, 253 nt
Filed under: uncultured bacterium
Lineage: Bacteria
Description: partial 16S ribosomal RNA
Rfam family: Bacterial small subunit ribosomal RNA
Source: RNAcentral